This 402-nucleotide ribosomal RNA is filed under the name Verrucomicrobiota bacterium. RNAcentral describes it as "Verrucomicrobia bacterium partial 16S ribosomal RNA". It matches the Rfam family "Bacterial small subunit ribosomal RNA", at positions 355 to 776 of the family's 1533-position model. The record is from RNAcentral. Lineage: Bacteria; Pseudomonadati; Verrucomicrobiota.
UGGGGAAUUUUGCACAAUGGGGGAAACCCUGAUGCAGCGACGCCGCGUGAUUUAGAAGGCCUUCGGGUUGUAAAAAUCUUUUCUAUGGGAAGAAAAUGACAGUACCAUAGGAAUAAGGACCGGCUAAUUACGUGCCAGCAGCCGCGGUAAUACGUAAGGUCCGAGCGAUGUCCGGAAUCAUUGGGCGUAAAGGGUACGUAGGCGGGUAAGCAAGUUAGAAGUGAAAUCCUGUAGCUCAACUACAGUAAGCUUUUAAAACUGCUCAUCUUGAGAUAUGGAAGGGAAAGUGGAAUUCCUAGUGUAGCGGUGAAAUGCGCAGAUAUUAGGAGGAAAACCGGUGGGGAAGGCGACUUUCUGGCCAUAAUCUGACGCUGAGGUACGAAAGCGUGGGUAGCAAACAGG